UACAACUCUUAGCGGUGGAUCACUCGGCUCGUGCGUCGAUGAAGAACGCAGCUAGCUGCGAGAACUAACCCUUCGCCGAGAGGCGAAGGGUUAGUUCUCGCGGCCCCGGGUUCUUCCCGGGGCUACGCCUGUCUGAGGGUCGCUU
Molecule: ribosomal RNA, 145 nt
Filed under: Cynoglossus melampetalus
Lineage: Eukaryota; Metazoa; Chordata; Actinopteri; Pleuronectiformes; Cynoglossidae
Description: 5.8S ribosomal RNA
Rfam family: 5.8S ribosomal RNA
About the family: 5.8S ribosomal RNA (5.8S rRNA) is a component of the large subunit of the eukaryotic ribosome. It is transcribed by RNA polymerase I as part of the 45S precursor that also contains 18S and 28S rRNA.
Source: RNAcentral